AGAGUUUGAUUCCUGGCUCAGGAUGAACGCUGGCGGCGUGCUUAACACAUGCAAGUCGAACGGACUCAUAUUGAAACCUAGUGAUUUAUGAGUUAGUGGCGGACGGGUGAGUAACGCGUGGAAAACCUGCCGUAUACUGGGGGAUAACACUUAGAAAUAGGUGCUAAUACCGCAUAAGCGCACAGCUUCGCAUGAAGUGGUGUGAAAAACUCUGGUGGUAUACGAUGGUUCCGCGUCUGAUUAGCUUGUUGGCGGGGUAAUGGCUCACUAAGGCGACGAUCAGUAGCCGGCCUGAGAGGGUGAACGGCCACAUUGGGACUGAGACACGGCCCAAACUCCUACGGGAGGCAGCAGUGGGGAAUAUUGCACAAUGGGGGAAACCCUGAUGCAGCGACGCCGCGUGAGUGAAGAAGUAUCUCGGUAUGUAAAGCUCUAUCAGCAGGGAAGAAAUAGCGACCUUUGGGUCGCCAGACGGUACCUGAUUAAGAAGCCCCGGCUAACUACGUGCCAGCAGCCGCGGUAAUACGUAGGGGGCAAGCGUUAUCCGGAUUUACCGGGUGUAAAGGGAGCGUAGACGGCAGCACAAGUCUGAAGUGAAAUGCCGGGGCUUAACCCCGGAACUGCUUUGGAAACUGUGCAGCUAGAGUGCAGGAGAGGUAAGUGGAAUUCCUAGUGUAGCGGUGAAAUGCGUAGAUAUUAGGAGGAACACCAGUGGCGAAGGCGGCUUACUGGACUGUAACUGACGUUGAGGCUCGAAAGCGUGGGGAGCAAACAGGAUUAGAUACCCUGGUAGUCCACGCUGUAAACGA
Molecule: ribosomal RNA, 809 nt
Filed under: uncultured bacterium
Lineage: Bacteria
Description: bacterial SSU rRNA
Rfam family: Bacterial small subunit ribosomal RNA
Source: RNAcentral